ACGCUGGCGGCACGCCUAACACAUGCAAGUCGAACGAAGUAGCAAUACUUAGUGGCAGACGGGUGAGUAACAUGUAGGUAUCUGCCCUUUGGCCUGGAAUAACACGAGGAAACUUGUGCUAAUACCGGAUAAGUCUUUACAGAGAAAGCUUUAUGCACCAUUGGAUGAGCCUGCACUUGAUUAGUUUGUUGGUGGGGUAAUGGCCUACCAAGACUGUGAUCAAUAGCUGAUUUGAGAGGAUGAUCAGCCACAUUGGGACUGAGACACGGCCCAAACUCCUACGGGAGGCAGCAGUGGGGAAUCUUGCACAAUGGAGGAAACUCUGAUGCAGCGAUGCCGCGUGAGUGAAGAAGGCCUUUGGGUUGUAAAGCUCUUUCGUCGGGGAAGAAAAUGACUGUACCCGAAUAAGAAGGUCCGGCUAACUUCGUGCCAGCAGCCGCGGUAAUACGAAGGGACCUAGCGUAGUUCGGAAUUACUGGGCUUAAAGAGUUCGUAGGUGGUUGAAAAAGUUAGUGGUGAAAUCCCAGAGCUUAACUCUGGAACUGCCAUUAAAACUUUUCAGCUAGAGUAUGAUAGAGGAAAGCAGAAUUUCUAGUGUAGAGGUGAAAUUCGUAGAUAUUAGAAAGAAUACCAAUUGCGAAGGCAGCUUUCUGGAUCAUUACUGACACUGAGGAACGAAAGCAUGGGUAGCGAAGAGGAUUAGAUACCCUCGUAGUCCAUGCCGUAAACGAUGUGUGUUAGACGUUGGAAAUUUAUUUUCAGUGUCGCAGCGAAAGCGAUAAACACACCGCCUGGGGAGUACGACCGCAAGGUUAAAACUCAAAUGAAUUGACGGGGACCCGCACAAGUAGUGGAGCAUGUGGUUUAAUUCGAAGAUACGCGCAGAACCUUACCAACACUUGACAUGUUCGUCGCGACUCUAAGAGAUUAGAGUUUUCGGUUCGGCCGGACGAAACACAGGUGCUGCAUGGCUGUCGUCAGCUCGUGUCGUGAGAUGUUGGGUUAAGUCCCGCAACGAGCGCAACCCUCACUUUUAGUUGCCAUCAUUAAGUUGGGCACUCUGAAAGAACUGCCAGUGAUAAGCUGGAGGAAGGUGGGGAUGACGUCAAGUCCUCAUGGCCCUUACGUGUUGGGCUACACACGUGCUACAAUGGUAUCUACAACAGGAAGCAAGACUGCGAAGUUAAGCAAAUCCCUAAAAGAUACCUCAGUUCGGAUUGCACUCUGCAACUCGAGUGCAUGAAGCUGGAAUUACUAGUAAUCGUGGAUCAGCGUGCCACGGUGAAUGCGUUCCCGGGUCUUGUACACACCGC
Molecule: ribosomal RNA, 1313 nt
Filed under: uncultured Alphaproteobacteria bacterium
Lineage: Bacteria; Pseudomonadati; Pseudomonadota; Alphaproteobacteria
Description: uncultured alpha proteobacterium 16S ribosomal RNA
Rfam family: Bacterial small subunit ribosomal RNA
Source: RNAcentral